Molecule: long non-coding RNA, 578 nt
Filed under: Calidris pugnax (ruff)
Lineage: Eukaryota; Metazoa; Chordata; Aves; Charadriiformes; Scolopacidae
Description: lncRNA (ENSCPUG00000002830.1)
Source: RNAcentral
CCCAGGAACCCUUUGCAGAGAUCUGAUUGCACCAUGAGGUGAACUGAACGGAGGCUCUGAGAAGCUCAAGUAUUGAGGACCAGCCAUGGAGAAAACACACACUAUGGAAGGCUACAGUGAAAACACACAGGGGCUUUCAGCUUAAACAUAGGGAACGUUACCAGUUGAGCUGCAUCGUUCUACAGCUACUCUUGUGUGGCUAUAGAUGGUGUGAAAAUGUACAGAGACACAGAGAAACAGGACCCUGGAGUCAUUCUGCAGAUCACAGCUGCUGACUGCUCCAGAGACUGGGACUUCUGAAGCACCUGGAUUUGUGAUGGUGUCAUAACUACCUUGUUCUGCUGUUGCUUGUGCUGAGACCCGAGUAUGUCACCAAGUAAAAGGUGAAACAAAACCCAACCACCGAACCCCAAACCAAAAAACCUCUCAGGAACAACCCCGGAGCUCUCACCGUUGAUUAAUGUCAUCAGUGCUGUGGGUCAGGCUUGUGUAGCAGCUGCUUAAACAACUGCUGUUUGAGCCACCACCUUAAGGUAAAUGUGAAUAAAAGGGAGAAAGUUUUAAGCCCUGGAUAAGCC